AUUGAAUAUCAACGGAUGAGUGAUUCUUUCCUGAGGGAAAGAAUUGAAAAGGGAAGUCAGUUAAGCUGAUGCGGUACUCGCCACUGUAAAAGGGAGUUUGCUUACAAAAUGUCACUGGGGAUCUAUUCCCGGGAAGACGUAAGUUGAUGAAGAUCUUAAGCCAGGAGACCUGCUUAUGCCGAAGUCAAAAC
This 191-nucleotide non-coding RNA is filed under the name Desulfosporosinus orientis. The record is from RNAcentral. RNAcentral also lists the same sequence under 1 other name. Lineage: Bacteria; Bacillati; Bacillota; Clostridia; Eubacteriales; Desulfitobacteriaceae.